This 932-nucleotide ribosomal RNA is filed under the name Pedobacter zeaxanthinifaciens. RNAcentral's name for it is "bacterial SSU rRNA". It matches the Rfam family "Bacterial small subunit ribosomal RNA", at positions 467 to 1406 of the family's 1533-position model. Lineage: Bacteria; Pseudomonadati; Bacteroidota; Sphingobacteriia; Sphingobacteriales; Sphingobacteriaceae. The record is from RNAcentral.
CGAGUAGAAUGUCCGUAAANGNAGGAUCGUCUANUCCNUCUCAGCAGCUUCGNAAUCGGGUGGAUCCAAUCGUGANNGUAUAAUUNGGUUUAAAGUGUGCGUAGUGGGCGUGUUAAGUUCGGGUNGAAAGACGGUGGCUCAUCCAUCGCAGUGCCCUUGAUGCUGAUGUGCUUGAAUAGACUAGAGGUAGGCGGAAUGUGACAAGUAGCGGUGAAAUGCAUAGAUAUGUCGCAGACCACCGAUUGCGAAGGCAGUUUACUAUGGUCUGAUUGACGUUGAGGCACGAAAUCGUGGGGAUCGAACAGGAUUAGAUCCCUUGGUAGUCCACGCCAUAAACGAUGAACACUCGCUGUUGGUGAUAAUCGGUCAGCGUCUAAGCGAAAGCGUUAAGUGUUCCUCAUGGGGAGUACGCCCGCAAGGGUGAAACUCAAAGGAAUUGACGGGGGCCCGCACAAGCGGAGGAGCAUGUGGUUUAAUUCGAUGAUACGCGAGGACCCUUACCCGGGCUUGAAAGUUAGUGAAGUAUCCAGAGAUGGAUGCGCCCUUCGGGGCACGAAACUAGGUGCUGCAUGGCUGUCGUCAGUUCGUGCCGUGAGGUGUUGGGUUAAGUCCCGCAACGAGCGCAACCCCUAUGAAUAGUUGCCAGCAUGUACCGGUGGGGACUCUAUUCAGACUCCCUGUCCAACCAGAGAGGAAGGAGGGGACGACGUCAAGUCAUCAUGGCCCUUACGUCCGGGGCUACACACGUGCUACAAUGGACGGUACAGAGGGCAGCUAUCCGGCAACGGAAUGCCAAUCUCAAAAAGCCGUUCACAGUUCGGAUCGGGGUCUGCAACUCGACCCCGUGAAGUUGGAUUCGCUAGUAAUCGCGUAUCAGCAAUGACGCGGUGAAUACGUUCCCGGCCCUUGUACACACCGCCCGUCAAGCCAUG